CACGUAGGGUGCGAGCGUUGUCCGGAAUUAUUGGGCGUAAAGAGCUCGUAGGCGGUCUGUUGCGUCGGCUGUGAAAACCCGGGGCUCAACCCCGGGCCUGCAGCCGAUACGGGCAGACUGGAGUUCGGCAGGGGAGACUGGAAUUCCUGGUGUAGCGGUGAAAUGCGCAGAUAUCAGGAGGAACACCGGUGGCGAAGGCGGGUCUCUGGGCCGAUACUGACGCUGAGGAGCGAAAGCGUGGGGAGCGAACAGG
Molecule: ribosomal RNA, 253 nt
Filed under: uncultured bacterium
Lineage: Bacteria
Description: partial 16S ribosomal RNA
Rfam family: Bacterial small subunit ribosomal RNA
Source: RNAcentral